AUUGAACGCUGGCGGCAUGCCUUACACAUGCAAGUCGAACGGCAGCACGGGGGCAACCCUGGUGGCGAGUGGCGAACGGGUGAGUAACAUAUCGGAACAUACCCUAGAGUGGGGGGAUAACGUAGCGAAAGUUACGCUAAUACCGCAUACGAUCUAAGGAUGAAAGUGGGGGGAUCUUCGGACCUCAUGCUCAUGGAGUGGCCGAUAUCUGAUUAGCUAGUUGGUGAGGUAAAGGCUCACCAAGGCGACGAUCAGUAGCUGGUUUGAGAGAACGACCAGCCACACUGGAACUGAGACACGGUCCAGACUCCUACGGGAGGCAGCAGUGGGGAAUUUUGGAC
Molecule: ribosomal RNA, 341 nt
Filed under: uncultured bacterium
Lineage: Bacteria
Description: bacterial SSU rRNA
Rfam family: Bacterial small subunit ribosomal RNA
Source: RNAcentral